This 433-nucleotide ribosomal RNA is filed under the name uncultured bacterium. Its description in RNAcentral is "partial 16S ribosomal RNA". It matches the Rfam family "Bacterial small subunit ribosomal RNA", at positions 29 to 507 of the family's 1533-position model. The record is from RNAcentral.
AACGAACGCUGGCGGCAUGCCUAACACAUGCAAGUCGAACGAGACCUUCGGGUCUAGUGGCGCACGGGUGCGUAACGCGUGGGAACCUGCCCUUAGGUUCGGAAUAACUCCCCGAAAGGGGUGCUAAUACCGGAUAAUGUCUUCGGACCAAAGAUUUAUCGCCUUUGGAUGGGCCCGCGUUGGAUUAGCUAGUUGGUAGGGUAAAAGCCUACCAAGGCGACGAUCCAUAGCUGGUCUGAGAGGAUGAUCAGCCACACUGGGACUGAGACACGGCCCAGACUCCUACGGGAGGCAGCAGUGGGGAAUAUUGGACACUGGGCGAAAGCCUGAUCCAGCAAUGCCGCGUGAGUGAUGAAGGCCUUAGGGUUGUAAAGCUCUUUUACCCGGGAUGAUAAUGACAUUACCGGGAGAAUAAGCUCCGGCUAACUCCGUG